UACGUAGGUGGCAAGCGUUGUCCGGAUUUACUGGGCGUAAAGAGCGCGCAGGCGGUCGUUCAAGUCGCGUGUGAAAGCCCCCGGCUCAACUGGGGAGGGUCACGCGAUACUGAUCGACUCGAAGGCAGGAGAGGGUAGUGGAAUUCCCGGUGUAGUGGUGAAAUGCGUAGAUAUCGGGUGGAACACCCGUGGCUAAGGCGGCUCUCUAGUACGGUACUGACGCUGAGACGCGAAAGCGUGGGGAGCGAACAGG
This 253-nucleotide ribosomal RNA is filed under the name uncultured bacterium. RNAcentral's name for it is "partial 16S ribosomal RNA". It matches the Rfam family "Bacterial small subunit ribosomal RNA", at positions 524 to 776 of the family's 1533-position model. The record is from RNAcentral.